CCCUUAGAUGUUCUUGGCAGCACGCGCGCUACAAUGGUCUUCGCAAACGGAUGCAUUCUCGAAGGAGAAUGCCAAUCUUGGAAUCUAUGCCUUGGUCGGGACAGUUGCUUGCAAUUUUUCGACUCGAACCAGGAAUUCCUUGUAAUCGUGAUUCAUCACAUCACGAUGAAUACGUCCCUGCCCUUUGUACACACCGCCCGUCGCUCCUACCGAUCGAAGAGUUAGGUGAAUUGUUUUGAUCGAUAAGAUUUGACUAUGGUCAACUCUCGUUGUGAAAUUCUGUGAAUCUGACUGUUUAGAGGAAGGAAAAGUCGUAACA
Molecule: ribosomal RNA, 319 nt
Filed under: uncultured eukaryote
Lineage: Eukaryota
Description: partial 18S ribosomal RNA
Rfam family: Eukaryotic small subunit ribosomal RNA
Source: RNAcentral